UGAAGAAAAAGCAUCGGCUAACUCCGUGCCAGCAGCCGCGGUAAUACGGAGGAUGCAAGCGUUAUCCGGAAUCAUUGGGCGUAAAGGGUCCGCAGGUGGCGAAUAAAGUCUGCUGUUAAAGACCGGGGCUAAACUCCGGAAAGGCAGUGGAAACUGAUUAGCUAGAGUACGGUAGGGGUAGAGGGAAUUCCCAGUGUAGCGGUGAAAUGCGUAGAUAUUGGGAAGAACACCGGUGGCGAAAGCGCUCUACUAGGCCGAAACUGACACUGAGGGACGAAAGCUAGGGUAGCGAAAGGGAUUAGAUACCCCUGUAGUCUUAGCGGUAAACGAUGGAUACUAGGUGUAGCUUGUAUCGACCCGAGCUGUGCCGAAGCUAACGCGAUAAGUAUCCCGCCUGGGGAGUACGCACGCAAGUGUGAAACUCAAAGGAAUUGACGGGGGCCCGCACAAGCGGUGAAGUAUGUGGUUUAAUUCGAUGCAACGCGAAGAACCUUACCAGGGCUUGACAUGUCGCGAAUCUAGCGGAAACGUUAGAGUGCCUUAGGGAAUGCGAACACAGGUGGUGCAUGGCUGUUGUCAGCUCGUGUCGUGAGCUGUUGGGUUAAGUCCCGCAACGAGCGCAACCCUCGCCCUUAGUUGCCAAUAUUAAGUUAGGCACUCUAGGGAGACUGCCGGGGACAACUCGGAGGAAGGUGGGGAUGACGUCAAGUCAGCAUGCCCCUUACGUCCUGGGCGACACACGUACUACAAUGGUUGGGACAAAGGGCAGCAAACUCGCGAGAGUAAGCGAAUCUCAUCAAACCCAGCCACAGUUCAGAUUGCAGGCUGCAACUCGCCUGCAUGAAGUAGGAAUCGCUAGUAAUCGCAGGUCAGCAUACUGCGGUGAAUUCGUUCCCGGGCCUUGUACACACCGCCCGUCACACCAUGGAAGCUGGCUACGCCCGAAGUCGUUACCCUAACCCGGUUUUGGGAGGGGGAUGCCGAAGGUAGAGCUAGUGACUGGGGUGAAGUCGUAACAAGGUAGCCGUACCGGAAGGUGUGGCUGUAUCACCUCCUUU
This 1058-nucleotide ribosomal RNA is filed under the name uncultured cyanobacterium. RNAcentral describes it as "bacterial SSU rRNA". It matches the Rfam family "Bacterial small subunit ribosomal RNA", at positions 480 to 1533 of the family's 1533-position model. The record is from RNAcentral. Lineage: Bacteria; Bacillati; Cyanobacteriota.